Neotoma lepida (desert woodrat) is the source of this 99-nucleotide long non-coding RNA. It matches the Rfam family "Metastasis associated lung adenocarcinoma transcript 1". From Rfam's summary of the family: MALAT 1 (metastasis associated lung adenocarcinoma transcript 1) is also known as NEAT2 (noncoding nuclear-enriched abundant transcript 2). It is a large, infrequently spliced RNA, which is highly conserved amongst mammals. The record is from Rfam. NCBI's taxonomy places the organism in Eukaryota, Metazoa, Chordata, Mammalia, Rodentia, Cricetidae.
UAAAGAAUUGAUGGAAAACAAUGAAGAUCAAAUGUCCAUCUCAAAACACUGCUUUUACAAAAGCAGAAUAAAAAAAAAAAUGAAAUGAAAUGAAAGUGC